UUUAUACAUUGCAUUGAUCUAAGCCAUGAGCAUCCAUUUUUCACACACAUUUCAGCUCAUGCUAAUAUUUCUAACCUUGAAGAAAGCUAUAGUAUGCCAUAUGUGAGUUUAUUUGAAAAAACGUUUAUCACAGAGAUAUUUUUCAAUUACAAAGAAAAACUAUCAAAAUCAGCUCAAAACAAUAAACCAUGUGAGAAACGACUUUGUCUAUAAAAUCAAAUUCUUUGCUGAUUUCGUGUAUUUGAAUGAAUGCUCCUUUGAAUGUGUUCUUCCUCCCUAAUUACCGAGAGAAGUCAGUAGAUCUUUUCAUCUUUUUUUCACUCGGUUUUCUUCAACCGUCUUUCUUCUUUUUGAUGUUGGGCUGAGCUCAAUUUUUAAAGAGUCUAGUCGAUCAGUUUUUAAAGAGGGUCUUUCAACAACUAAAUUACCAUGACUUAGUAGAUAGAAAAUGUUUAUUAUCACACGCAUAAAAUUGUUGUAGUAGAUUACUAUAUAAGGUGAAUUAAUACAUACUGUAUCACUUUUGGAUUUCGAAUAAUAUAAAAUUGUGAUACAUGAUUACUGUUUUGGUAAUAGUAUCAGUACAUAUUAGUAAUCAAAAUUGAAAUCAUUCAACUCAUUGAGUUUUCUAUAAGUCAUUAUUGCCACAACUUUUGAAGUAUAUUUUCGAACUGGAAAUGUUGUACUAUAUGCCAAUCCCCUUAUUAUUAAAAGGGAAGCAAAUAAAAAGAGAAACCUUAAAAAUGUAUUAUAUUUACAAUGGUGCCAUUAUGACGACGUGUCGCACAGUCAAGCCUUCUCAGGCUGCUUUUGAAAAAACCCACGCCCAGCUUAGCUAUUUACCACUAUUGCCAUUGGACUAACCCCAACAUUUAAUUGCAUGUUCCUUAUAUAUAAUGUAUAAAACAUGGUUAUCUGGCAUACAUUAGUUUCAGACAAAUCAUCUCCUAUCUCAUAUCUCAUAUUGUCACGUAGUUAGUAAUAAAAAGCCAUGAUUUUACACAGUAUUUUGACCAAUCUAAAUGUUUACAAUAUUAUAUUAUAAUUCCAACGAACUAUUUAAUUGAUUUUUACAUUUCCUGUAUUUGGGACUAUUUCUUGGUCAAGAACUUAAUAGAUUAUUUUUCUAGCGGACAAUAUGUAUUGUACGUAUGUUAAUAUAUUGUCACGUAGUAACUAAUAAAAAAUCAUGAUUUCCAUAGAAUUUUGACCAAUCUAAAUGUUAUCCCAUAGAUUUAUAAUCCCAACGAAAUAUACCAUUAUGAUUGUUACUGUGUUCAUACUUUGUAUGAUCAAGGUAAAAUGAAUAAUUUAUUUUCUGUAAUUCAUAAUUGAGGAUUUCAUCUUUAUGAUCUUACCUAUUAUGUAGUCAAUCUAAUAUAAAAAAUUAGGGAUAUUUUUGUGUCAUCUUCAUCUCUACGGAAAUCAUGUUCUUCAUUCGAGUCAAAAUCAUAUUGUUUAUGGUAAUACUUGAUUGCCAUGAUUAACGGUAGCUGUUAUAUGCAUUGAGUACUGCUUGACGUGAUUACUAAUACAUUUUCAAUCCCAUAAAGAAAUUCUUUGACUUUCAAUUUGAAUUUAGUCCUAAAAUAGUUUUAUUUGGUAUUUAUUAACUUCCUAAAAUUUCAAUAUCUUAUAAUACCUUAAACCCGGAUUGUCAAUUUGUUUGAUUGCACGUAUAUGUGAUAUAUCAAUCGCAUUUAUUAGUGAAUAAGUUGGAACUUAUAUAAAUACCGAAGAAGAUACUUCUUCGACCAUAUCAUCAUCUUUUCUGUAUUCAUUAUUCUCUAAAAGUUUCUUUUCCCCUAUGAUUCAAAAAAAAAUGGCAGGUUUAGAUUUUGUUAGCGACUUGAAGCUUUUCAAGUCAGUGUGGAAAAUAAGAGUUAAGGUGAUUCGUCUGUGGAAGCAGUAUUCUUGUGCUUCCGGAGAAACGAUGGAAAUGGUGUUAGCUGAUUCUAGAGUAAGUCUGUUGUUAUCUGUCUAAGACUUCAUCUAAUAGACUUAUUAACAUAUAUAUUUGACCAUAUCGUUCAAGUUUCCUUAUGUUUUUACUGUAUUUUUCAGGGUGAUAUGAUCCAUGGUACUGUGAAAAAAGAAAUGGUCAGCCAGUUUGAAACUUUAAUCAGUCAAGGUGAAUCGAAGUUGAUGGUGAAUUUCACCAUGGCAUCCAGUUCUCUUUAGUCAAUAUGGAGUUCGUUUUCUUUAUAUUUUGUUACUAGACUUAUGUUCACUUUUUUUCCUAUGACCUAAAUACAUUUUACUUUACUCUCAUUGACAGGUAUGAACACAUUAAGUGUGUAGCAGUUGGAGAAGUUGCUCUGUUUUUACAUAAUUACUGGAACUCAACCAAUGUCCCUGUUGUCCUAUGUGUGUUACAGUUUUGGAAAUUGAUUGGGGUGUUGGUAACUUACAGUUCUAAUACUUUAGUUGCUGUAUUUGUUAAUUUUGAUAUUCGUUUAUGGUGACGUUUAUUUUUUGGAUCAUGAUCAGGUGGAUUCAAGCACAUGGCAACAAUUGAUGGAUUUUCGAGAAUUUUAUUUGAGCCUGAUGAUGUUCCAGAGAUCCAGUCUUUCAGAAUGAGUCGGGAUUCAAAUAAGGAACACAUAGUGGAGGGCUGAAAAUCUUCGGGAACCAGAAUCUUCAUUCACACGAGUUGCUGAGUUUUUAAAUUUUGUUUUGAAGGAGAAGAUUCACGAGACCGAAAUCAUCGAGAUAAACCAAAUACACAAAAUUGAAGAUGAGGAAGGUGUAUCACCCAAAAGAUUACAAGUGACAGCUAAUUCUAGAUGAAUCGAACAAAUUUAAUUUUUCUGUAAUAACCCUUAUUUUUUUUUCAGGCAAAGUAAUUGAUUUUCGUGAGACGAAGAAAAGUUCUUUUUUUGUUUUUAACAACAAUCUUUUUUUUUAGUCAAAGACAAGUUAUUUUUUUGGGCCUUAUCCUCUUUCAUUCAAAAGAAAUGGAUUUUUGAAGAUAAUUUCUUUUUC
Long non-coding RNA from Brassica napus (rape), 2985 nucleotides. RefSeq lists it as uncharacterized. The record is from RefSeq and is a predicted model, not a curated record. NCBI's taxonomy places the organism in Eukaryota, Viridiplantae, Streptophyta, Magnoliopsida, Brassicales, Brassicaceae. The transcript is spliced from 2 exons.